Molecule: ribosomal RNA, 253 nt
Filed under: uncultured bacterium
Lineage: Bacteria
Description: partial 16S ribosomal RNA
Rfam family: Bacterial small subunit ribosomal RNA
Source: RNAcentral
UACGUAGGGUGCAAGCGUUGUCCGGAAUUAUUGGGCGUAAAGAGCUCGUAGGCGGCCUGUCGCGUCUGGUGUGAAAACUCAGGGCUUAACUCUGAGCUUGCAUCGGGUACGGGCAGACUAGAGUGUGCUAGGGGAGACUGGAAUUCCUGGUGUAGCGGUGAAAUGCGCAGAUAUCGGGAGGAACACCGGUGGCGAAGGCGGUUCUCUGGGCCUUACCUGACGCUGAGGAGCGAAAGCGUGGGGAGCGAACAGG